GUGAAUUGAAUAUGUUAGCGGACCUCUUCGGAGCCCCUAGCAUCAAAUCAUAUCCAUAACACCUGUGAACUGUAAGGCUGUCUUGAAAACGAAAGUGAUUAGAGCGCCUGCCCAUUUUAUACAAACAUUAAAGUAACAAACGUAGUCUUAUUAUAAUCUAAUA
This 163-nucleotide unclassified non-coding RNA is filed under the name soil metagenome. RNAcentral describes it as "partial internal transcribed spacer 1". The record is from RNAcentral.